AAGUAAAAGUCGUAACAAGGUUUCCGUAGGUGAACCUGCGGAAGGAUCAUUACCUAGAGUUGCGGGCUUUGCCUGCCAUCUCUUACCCAUGUCUUUUGAGUACCUUACGUUUCCUCGGCGGGUCCGCCCGCCGAUUGGACAAUUUAAACCAUUUGCAGUUGCAAUCAGCGUCUGAAAAAAACUUAAUAGUUACAACUUUCAACAACGGAUCUCUUGGUUCUGGCAUCGAUGAAGAACGCAGCGAAAUGCGAUAAGUAGUGUGAAUUGCAGAAUUCAGUGAAUCAUCGAAUCUUUGAACGCACAUUGCGCCCCUUGGUAUUCCAUGGGGCAUGCCUGUUCGAGCGUCAUUUGUACCUUCAAGCUCUGCUUGGUGUUGGGUGUUUGUCUCGCCUCCGCGCGCAGACUCGCCUCAAAACAAUUGGCAGCCGGCGUAUUGAUUUCGGAGCGCAGUACAUCUCGCGCUUUGCACUCACAACGACGACGUCCAAAAGUACAUUUUUUACACUCUUGACCUCGGAUCAGGUAGGGAUACCCGCUGAACUUAAGC
Molecule: ribosomal RNA, 547 nt
Filed under: aff. Phoma sp.
Lineage: Eukaryota; Fungi; Ascomycota; Dothideomycetes; Pleosporales; Didymellaceae
Description: eukaryotic LSU rRNA
Rfam family: 5.8S ribosomal RNA (bases 194-347)
Source: RNAcentral